Molecule: long non-coding RNA, 558 nt
Organism: Panicum virgatum (switchgrass)
Lineage: Eukaryota; Viridiplantae; Streptophyta; Magnoliopsida; Poales; Poaceae
Exons: 2
Source: RefSeq, a predicted model, not a curated record
GCCGUCUCAGCGAAUCCGUUCGACCUGACGGCAGCCGGCGGCGGCGACCCCACUGCCGAUGACCCCAGCACACUCCAUAGCCAGAACCGGCGCUGCCUCCACCAUGCCACGCUCUCUCCUGCACAAACUGAGCUUGCGAACAUGCAAGACGCAGCACCGGCAGCCCGGCAUCGAAUGCCAUAGCUCGCUGCCGCCCCCUUGGAUGCGACGCGGGCGAAGGGAGAAGCCGAGCGAAAGGAUGCAACCGCGAGCGUGUCUUCUCGCUGCGCGCGCGGUCGUUUCCCGCUGGCGGCGUCCGUGGAGCGCUGCCGCGCAGCAUGCGUAGUCGUAUCAGACGAGGCUGGCAGUUGACUAUGUUCAGACCGCGGCAUAUAAAUCCAAUAGGCUGGCCCGCUCCAAGGAGGGCGCUCAAAGGCGUGCCAGUGUUUCUAGUGAAGCUCUAGACGUACUUCGGCGCAUGAUGGAAUGCUCUAGACGUACUUCAGUGCAUGUAAUGAACUUUGUGACCUGUAUCUGUUUGAUUUGAUGUUCUGAAUAUAUAAAUUCUGAACUUAAUUA